Long non-coding RNA from Juglans microcarpa x Juglans regia, 150 nucleotides. RefSeq lists it as uncharacterized. The transcript has 3 exons. NCBI's taxonomy places the organism in Eukaryota, Viridiplantae, Streptophyta, Magnoliopsida, Fagales, Juglandaceae. The record is from RefSeq and is a predicted model, not a curated record.
AAUGUACGGGGGCUUAAUGAUCGCAAUAAAUGCCUUCGUAUAAAAUCAUUAUUGCGGAUGUGGAAGGUUGAUGUGGUGUGUUUUCAAGAAACAAAGAUGGAAGUUAUUGAUAGAAGUAUUGUUUGUAGUUUAAAGGUGUGUCUAUAUGUG